UUAAGUUCAGCGGGUGGUCCUACUCGAUUUGAGGUCAAGUUGUCAGUUGUUGUCUGAAGACAGUUGGAAAGCACAGAGCUCCUGAUCAGCCACCCUCUUGCGAGGUGCCAGCGAAGACACUUAUCACGCCGUACUAUGUCCAAUCAAGGAGGUGCAACUAACAUAUUUCAGGUGAGCCACAGUCAAGCAGCAACACCCAA
Molecule: unclassified non-coding RNA, 200 nt
Filed under: Sebacina sp.
Lineage: Eukaryota; Fungi; Basidiomycota; Agaricomycetes; Sebacinales; Sebacinaceae
Description: partial internal transcribed spacer 2
Source: RNAcentral